Non-coding RNA from Aegilops tauschii subsp. strangulata, 486 nucleotides. The record is from RefSeq and is a predicted model, not a curated record. Lineage: Eukaryota; Viridiplantae; Streptophyta; Magnoliopsida; Poales; Poaceae.
CUCUGGCCUCCUCUUCUGCUCUCUAAGUCGUAAGAACGGAGAGAAAGAAGUACUCACUAAGCACUUUCACUCGUGAUUUAGGGCGAUUUAGAGUUGGAUUUUGAAUAUGCUGAAGUGGAAGAAAAGAUAGACGAAGGCAUUAUUUCAUCACUUUUUGGAGUCAUUUAGAGCUUCAGGAGUACGAUUUGCCUAGCGAAGUGAACUACGAAGUUGAAGAUCAAGGUAAAAUAAUUCAUCUUAGUAGCAAACAAGGAGGAGAUGACGUGAUUGAAGAAAUUGUGUAUCCAUCUUCGCUGUCCCUUGUGAGGUGAUGACCACAUACAUGCAAGUGCUAUUUUCAUACUUUUGAUAGCAGAAAGAAAAAUCCGUGUGUAAUAUUGAUGUUCAUGUGAUAAUAGGUCGACUCCGUUCAUAUAUUACUAGUGACGGAUAUUUAUUCGAACUAUUUGGAUGCUUAAUUGCAUUCGCAAGCACAUCCAUAUUGGA